UGACUAAUUUUAGAUUUAGUAUGCCUAUGU
RNAcentral lists this small RNA (30 nucleotides) under Bombyx mori (domestic silkworm). Its description in RNAcentral is "ovarian small RNA-8151". Lineage: Eukaryota; Metazoa; Arthropoda; Insecta; Lepidoptera; Bombycidae. The record is from RNAcentral.